RNAcentral lists this transfer RNA (75 nucleotides) under Clostridiales bacterium. RNAcentral's name for it is "tRNA-Glu". It matches the Rfam family "tRNA". From Rfam's summary of the family: Transfer RNA (tRNA) molecules are approximately 80 nucleotides in length. Their secondary structure includes four short double-helical elements and three loops (D, anti-codon, and T loops). Lineage: Bacteria; Bacillati; Bacillota; Clostridia; Eubacteriales. The record is from RNAcentral.
GGCGCUUUCUUCUAUCGGUUAGGAAAAUAGGUUCUCAGCCUAUGAAGCAGGGUUCGAUUCCCUGAAGCGUCACCA